RNAcentral lists this ribosomal RNA (414 nucleotides) under uncultured microorganism. RNAcentral describes it as "bacterial SSU rRNA". It matches the Rfam family "Archaeal small subunit ribosomal RNA", at positions 330 to 745 of the family's 1478-position model. The record is from RNAcentral.
GUGCAGCAGGCGCGAAAACUCCGCAAUACACGAAAGUGUGACGGGGCCAUCCCGAGUGCCGUCCGCUGAGGACGGCUUUUCCCCAGUGUACACAGCUGGGGGAAUAAGGAGAGGGCAAGCCUGGUGUCAGCCGCCGCGGUAAUACCAGCUCUCCGAGUGGUGGGGACGCUUAUUGGGCCUAAAGCAUCCGUAGCCGGCUGGGCAAGUUCUCCGUUAAAUCCAACGAUUCAAUCGUUGGGCUGCGGGGGAUACUGUCCAGCUUGGGGGGCGGGAGAGGCCGACGGUAUUCCCGGGGUAGGGGUGAAAUCCUAUAAUCCCGGGAGGACCACCAGUGGCGAAGGCUGUCGGCUAGAACGCGCCCGACGGUGAGGGAUGAAAGCUGGGGGAGCGAACCGGAUUAGAUACCCGUGUAGU